UUUUUUUUUUUUUUCUGAAAAACUUAACUAUGUCAUGCCUUGUCAUUCAUUUCCAUAACUAAACUCUUUCUGUGAACAGUGUAUGUGAUACACGUACCCAUUUCUUUUCUUUUUUUAAAAAAUGUUAAAUGUAAACUUUGGUCCACUUAUGCACAGAAAUUCUUCUGAGUUUAUUGGAGAGUCCCAGAGUGAAUCAUGAUAGGAUGCAGAACUGUUGAGGAAAAGGAAGUUUUGAAGUACUAUAGCUUGGGAUCCCAGGCUAUUUAAAGACAGAGCUUUUGCUGAUUUCCCUAGCUCACUGUGAAUUUCAGCAUGAUUGUGUUUGACAACAUGAACUUUAGGACACAUUACGAAACAGUACAUAGCUGCUGUGUCCCAGGAGAAGUGCUGAGAAGAAUAUUGGGCAGCACAGGCUCAAUUUCUCCCCCGUUUCUUUGUUUUAGUGGGAAGACACCUGUUGCGCCCAGCCAACUCCUAUUGAGUUUGGCUUGUUCAGCAUCUCUCAUAGAUUUCAUCAUGCUACUAGGUGCCUAUCUGCAGCGAUAAAUGCCUUUAAACAUUAGCUUUUGUAUUUGCCUCUUCCUUCAGGCAUAUAAUGUGAUGCAAAUGUCUAAGGACUCUUGAUUUGCGUACUGGACAGAAAAGUAAACUGAAGUAGUCAGAAAAUGUUUAGAUUGGAUAUGAAAGGGAAAUAUCUAUACCCAUAAGCUGGGAUAAGGACGGUUCUGAAAUCUUCAUUCAAGGUUUUCAAAAAUAGUUCAGAAAAUACCUGUCAGGGUUGAUAUAAGUGUACUUAAACUUGCCUCAGAGAAAAAGCACGGAAUAUCCUCUCAGCCCUGUUGUUCUACAAUGUCCCUACUGGGGCACGCUAAGCUUUGGAGGAUGUGAUCUGCCCACAUCUGUAGGGAUAAGAAUGUUCUAUCCUUCAAUUAGCUAUCAGAAGCAAUAUUUAAUUUUUAAAUUUACAGUUUAUGAGCAUGAUAGAAUAAGCUGUCUGUGUGAAGAGCUGUCUUUCUUUGAAGUAAAUUAGAGUUCCAGCACAGAAGACAGGAUCAUAUAAAAGAUUAAAAAAAAAUGGAAUCGGAUUUGUAAAUAUUCUUUUUUAUUACUGUUUUCAAUUUCUGAUUUAGAUACAUAACAAUGGAUUUCUAAGCAGCUUGCCUAUUCAAUUUCUUCAAAACCAGACUUCAGUUUCUCCAGAGGGCUUCUUCCAAAACUUAAAUAAAACCAUUUCAUUACUUGAAAUAAAAUUCCAAUUACUUAAUGUAAGUUUUUACUAAGCUGCCUAUUGAGAGAAAGAGAAAAAGACGUAUUUCCAUUACUAUAUUCUCAGCUGAUUUAAACAAGGUGUAGUAAUUUUUCAUAACUAUUGUUGCAAAAUAAAGUGGAAUGGCAAUGCACAGAUAAA
Molecule: long non-coding RNA, 1408 nt
Filed under: Strigops habroptila (Kakapo)
Lineage: Eukaryota; Metazoa; Chordata; Aves; Psittaciformes; Psittacidae
Description: lncRNA (ENSSHBG00005019704.1)
Source: RNAcentral